RNAcentral lists this ribosomal RNA (355 nucleotides) under Hastulopsis sp. MNHN IM 2013-58714. RNAcentral describes it as "partial 12S ribosomal RNA". The record is from RNAcentral. Lineage: Eukaryota; Metazoa; Mollusca; Gastropoda; Neogastropoda; Terebridae.
UUUACCAGAGUACUAUGAAUGCUUAAAAAUUUAAAACUCAAAGAACUUGGCGGUGUUUUAGACCACCCAGGGGAACCUGUCUCGUAAUCGAUAAUCCACGUUGAACCUGACCUUUUUUUGUUUUCAGUCUGUAUACCGUUGUCGACAGGUAACUUUUUAGAAACUAGAAGUUAGCAAUUAAAAUGUUGGUGAUUUAGUAUGUCAAAUCAAGGUGCAGCUAAUAAAGAGGGGAGGAUGGGUUACAAUUAUAUAAUUUAUAAUGACGGAUAGAUAUAUGAAUAUAUGCUAGGUUAUAAGGAGGACUUGGAAGUAAAUUAGAAUAUAUAGAUAAUUUGAAUUAGGCUCUGAAACGUGU